UACAGAGGGUGCAAGCGUUAAUCGGAAUUACUGGGCGUAAAGGGUCUGUAGGCGGAUUAUUAAGUCGGAUGUGAAAUCCCCGGGCUCAACCUGGGAACGGCAUUCGAUACUGGUAGUCUAGAGUGUGCAAGAGGAUGGGGGAAUUCCUGGUGUAGCAGUGAAAUGCGUAGAGAUCAGGAGGAACAUCAAUGGCGAAGGCACCUUUCUGGGGCAACACUGACGCUGAGAGACGAAAGCGUGGGGAGCAAACAGGAUUAGAUACCCUGGUAGUCCACGCCCUAAACGAUGUCAACUAACUGUUCGGAGUCACUAAGAUUCUGAGUAGUGAAGCUAACGCGAUAAGUUGACCGCCUGGGGAGUACGGCCGCAAGGUUGAA
RNAcentral lists this ribosomal RNA (377 nucleotides) under uncultured bacterium. RNAcentral describes it as "bacterial SSU rRNA". It matches the Rfam family "Bacterial small subunit ribosomal RNA", at positions 524 to 898 of the family's 1533-position model. The record is from RNAcentral.